CCUACGGGAGGCAGCAGUGAGGAAUAUUGGUCAAUGGGCGUAAGCCUGAACCAGCCAAGUAGCGUGAGGGAUGACUGCCCUACGGGUUGUAAACCUCUUUUAUCAGGGAAUAAAGUGAGGCACGUGUGCCUUUUUGUAGGUACUUUAUGAAUAAGGAUCGGCUAACUCCGUGCCAGCAGCCGCGGUAAUACGGAGGGUGCCAGCGUUACUCGGAAUGACUGGGGGUAAAGGGCGCGUAGGCGGGAUAGCAAGGCCGAUGUGAAAUCUGGAGGCUCAACCUCCGAAUUGCAGUUGAAACUGGUUUUCUUGAGUGCGCGAGAGGCAGACGGAAUUCGUUGUGUAGCAGUGAAAUGCGUAGAUAUCGCGAGGAACACUCGUGGCGAAGGCAGGUUCCUGGAGCUUAACUGACGCUGAGGCACGAAGGCCAGGGGAGCGAAAGGGAUUAGAUACCCCAGUAGUC
This 460-nucleotide ribosomal RNA is filed under the name uncultured bacterium. Its description in RNAcentral is "partial 16S ribosomal RNA". It matches the Rfam family "Bacterial small subunit ribosomal RNA", at positions 338 to 795 of the family's 1533-position model. The record is from RNAcentral.